UCUGCUCAAUGUUUUAUAAAUAGCUGCAUCAUAUGUACUAAGGUAGCAUAAUAAUUUGCCUUUUAAUUGAAGGAUUGUAUGAAGGAAAACACAAGGUAUAAGCUGUCUCUUUUUUAUUAUUAAAAAUUAAUCUACAAAGUGAAAAAGCUUGUAUAAAAUAAAUAGACAAGAAGACCCUGUUGAGCUUUAUCUAAAAAUUAAUAAAUAGAUUUUGUUGGGGCAACAUAAAUUUUUCACACCAAUUUAAUUAUUCUAGAAUAUAUUCACUUAAACUAUCUUAUUUUAUAAAAUAUUAAUAAGCUACCACAGGGAUAACAGGCUAAUUUUCUUUUAGAGUUCAAAUUAACAAGAAAGAUUGGUACCUCGAUGUUGGCUUAAGAUCACUGCUAAUUGUAGCAAUUUAGCUAGUUGGUU
Molecule: ribosomal RNA, 414 nt
Filed under: Hypomyzostoma aff. crosslandi b DL-2005
Lineage: Eukaryota; Metazoa; Annelida; Myzostomida; Myzostomatidae
Description: partial 16S ribosomal RNA
Rfam family: Bacterial large subunit ribosomal RNA
Source: RNAcentral